This 4189-nucleotide long non-coding RNA is filed under the name Nicotiana benthamiana. RNAcentral describes it as "long non-coding RNA (NBEN_LNC041032)". Lineage: Eukaryota; Viridiplantae; Streptophyta; Magnoliopsida; Solanales; Solanaceae. The record is from RNAcentral.
UUUAUCCCCAAAAACCUUCCUCUCAAUCGUAUUCCUCUCUAUCGUAUUCCUCUCUUGCACUCUCCGAACUUGGUUUAAUCGGUUUUUAUAUAGAAGUUUUGUUGAUUUUGUGGGUCUGGCGAAAUCUUUGGUAUCGUGAAGUGGGUGGCUAAAUUUUGAGGCAUCUGAGCAAAUUUCCUCAAAAUAGAUUCUCUCCCUGAUUCCCUAAAUUCAACAGCGGUGAUUUUAGCCAUGUAAGUUAUUUUGAUGCCUUUUUAACUCUUUUCAAUCUAUCCAUGGAGGUUGUCGACUUGCUCUAGGGCUUGUGUAUUUAUAUUUAUAUCGAUUUGUUGUAGGAUUGCUCUAGGGCUGUGAAUCUGAUUUUUUUCUUAAUUUUUUGUUUUUUCUAUUAUAUUUUUGGUGCCAAACCAGUAAUUUUUUGGUGAAAUAGUGUUUUCUCUCAUCUAUACCAUAUUUCGCCCUGCGAAAAGAAACAAAAAUAGUUAAUUACAUGAUAUAUUCCUGUUUUUACCUUAAUUUUUAUCUGGUAUAACUUUGUUGUGUCAAGGAAUAUACUUAGUUUGCCAUCAUAUCGUACUUCUCGAAUCUAAACAUUGUAGCAUGUAAGUCAAUUCAAAAGUAGCUGGAGUCGGGUUCAAUUAUUUAUUUACAUAUUUGUGUCUAAAUUUAGUACACAUUUAGAACAGAUGUUUUAGUAAAUGAGCACACAUCUGAACCAGAUAGAAUCAUAUUUUAGUAAUAAAAUCUUGCAAGAUCCAGAGUAUACAGAAUUCCAAUUGAUCUUUAUUUUCGCACAAACCAUUAUGAUAUGUGUAAUUGAAGGAUGAUUUUUGUUCGCAAACUUGAAAACAAGUGCCAUACUGUACAGGUUGCCAGGAUAACUUUCACCUAGCGAAUGACUCUGCUUGUGGUUAGUUAUUCCAGUUUUUCAAUGUAUGGCUGGCUUCCUGUCUUAUGGUGUGACAUGCAUGAAAAAAGGAGUUAACUAAAGAUGCAAGUGUGAUCAACCAAUGUAACAAUAUCUUGGAUGAACUUUGCAGGGAGAGUCUUGAUCUACUGUGGUGCAUCUGAUUUGUAGUAUUCACGUUUUCAAUGAUUCUUUUCAUAUCCAUCCAUGAAAAGUGGGAUUGGCCACCUGAAAAAUAAGACAAAUUAAUUGCUAGAACAGGUUUGAGGAGGGUGGUGUACGCAGACUACCUUACCCCGAGGGAAUAGAGGGAUUGUUUCCAAUAGACUCGGCUCAAGAACAAAGUAUGUUGAUAGGGUAAAAAAGAAUAAGUAGCAUUAAUUGCUUUCUUGGUAGAUAGAGACUAUAGGAAGCGUGACUGCUUGUACCCUGCCGUCUAAAUUUGAACAUUUACAGGUCUAGUAAAACUGGCAAAAAGGAACUGCACCCACUCUACCAAGAUAAACAUAUACGCUAUUCACAUGUUUGAAAUACGCUAUUCAGUGAUUUGUUUUAAAAGCUUUUUAAGUCAAAAUGUUUCAGUGAAUAUAGAGUAAAAUUACCAAUUGUGAAUGGAUUGCUUAAGAGGAUGACACAGAUAGUUCAACUGCCUUUGACCUUGGAUUCUGAUAGCUUCCAAUAGUACAUAAGUUCCAUAAAUUGUUGACAUGAAUAUUUCAACAUCUUUAUCAGCAUAAACUCCUUUGAGUAUAAUAAGUUUGUUUUUGUAUCUAAGGCAAAAUUAUUUCUUGUUCUCUUUGCUCGAAUGCUCCGUCUAUGAUAAUUUAUAUUUUUAAUUUUUGCAUGCUCCUCCUCCUUAAACUCCUUUGAGUAUAAUUAGUUUGUUUUUGUGUCUAAGGCAAAAUUAUUUCUUGUUCUCUUUGCUCGAUUGCUCUCCAAGUAAUCCUUAUCUGAUGUCAAUUUUUAUUUUUUAUUUUUGCAUGCUCCUCCUUGUUAAACAAUAGAACCUUCAUUGGUUGUAUAGAUACUAUUAGCUGAGAGAAAGUCUAUUUCUGGUAGCCGAUGAGAAAUCAUUGCUGGUAGUUUAGGGAAUACUAGUUGCUGGUAUGUUUUUUUAAUUUAUAUUUUUGGUAAUUGAAUUUGCUCGUAGUGUAUUUGUCUAUUUCUCCUAUUUAUAUUGUUAUGUAUGUUACUCUGAAUUAGUUUUUAUUGCUAUCUUAGGGUUUAACUAAUGAUGCCUUGAGUUAAGUUACAACAUGUUGUUCAAGUCUAAGUUUUUUAAAACUGAAUGCAUGUGUUGGGUACGACCCUAAAUUAAAGUACUACAAAUGACAGAAUAGGCAAGCAUUGUUAUUUAAUAUUGUUCCGUAACUUUAUAGUUGCAGGACUACAAAAAAGUCAACCUAUUUUUUAGAGUUACCCAACUAGCUAGAUAUUUAUUAUGUCAGCAUGUAUAAAAAUCAUAAAAAUUAUACAAAUGCACUAUGUUAAAGUUGAUUAUGUUUGUUAAAAUUAAAGAUAAAUAUCCCACUUCUCUUCAAUUGCUCCUCCUUCUGAGUUUUCACUCUUAAAAGAAUUAGUCAAUAUCUUAUUAUAUGUAGGUUUAUUUGGUUAAUUUUAUUAAUUUAACUUUAUCGUAUAGGAUUUCAAUGGAUAAUGGAGAUAAAAGUUGGAUGUAUCUCCUAAGAUGGACGGAUGAGUAUAUCCGUGGGGCGAACAAUUUUUUUGAUAAGGCAUUUGAACGAGCUUCCCAGGGAAAUGAAAUAUUAUGCCCUUGCAAAAAGUGUAAUAAUCACUAUUAGCACUAUAGAAAUGUGGUGGAGGAUCACUUGGUUGUUAACAGUUUUGUUGAUGGUUGAACAAUUUUAUUGAAAAGGCAUUUAACGAACUUCCCAGGGAAAUGAAAUAUUAUGCCCUUGAAAAAAGUGUAUUAAUCGCUAUUGGCACUAUAGAUAUGUGGUGGAGGAUCACUUGGUUGUUAACGGUUUUGUUGAUGCUUACACCAAAUGGGUUUUCCAUUGGAAAGGGUUUUCCUCUAGAAAUGCACUUCACAAAAGCAAUGAUGAUGAACGUUCUAACAUGCGCGAUGAUAUUGAUGAAUUACUUCAUGAUACAUUUAGGAAUGUAGAAUGUGAGGCAGAGCAGGAAGAAUAGAUGAGAGAGACUCUAUCUGAAGAUGCAAAGAGAUUUUUCAGAUUAUUAGAGGAAGGCAAACAAGAACUAAAUCCUGGGUGUGAACCUUCACUAAAUUGAGUUUUACUAUUCGGUUGUAUGUGUUUAAGUCCUUGCAUGGAUUGAGUAAAGAGUUGUUAAAAGAGGCAUUUCCCUUUGCUCAGUUGCCAGAAUAUUUCAACAAGGCUAGAAACAUGAUAAAAGAUUUAGGUCUUCAUUAUGAAAAAAAUACAUGCAUGCCCUAAUGAUUGCAUGUUAUUUACGAAAGACAAUGCAAACGACGAUAAUUUCUUUGUUCGAGGUGCUUCUCGAUGGAAAGUUUUUGAUGCUUCCUUAACUAGAACAAAGCGAAAAGUCCCAGUAAAGGUUUUAAAGUACUUUCCCUUAAAGUAUAAGCUUCAGAGGAUAUUCAUGUAUCCUGAAACAGCCAAUACAAUGACGUGGCAUGCUAAUGAACGACGCACUGAUGUGAAUAUGAGGCAUCCUGUUGAUUGAGAAGCUUGGAAGGAUUUUCAUUCUCUACACCCAGAUUUCUCCAGAGAUCCACGUAAUGUGAGGUUGAGUCUUUCAAGUGAUGGUUUCAACCCAUUUCGAACCAUGAGCAUUUCUCCUAGCACGUGGCCUGUCAUGUUAAUGAACUAUAAUUUAUCACCAUGCAUUUGCAUGAAGCAAGAAUAUAUCAUGUUGUCAAUGAUCAUUCCAGGUUCUUCUUCUCCAGGAAAUGAUAUAGAUGUGUAUCUACAACCAUUAAUUGAAAACUGAAGGAAGUAUGGGAAACUGGGAUAGAAAUAUAUGAUGCUGAGACAAAGCAAACAUUCCAAAUGUGUGCAACCUUAUUGUGGAUAGUUAUUGAUUUUCCAGCUUUAACAAUGCUUUCAGGCUGGAGCACCAAAGGUAGAUUGGCAUGCCCCACUUGUAUUUGCGACUCAUGCUCACGAUAUCUCAAAUACAGUCAUAAGAUGUGUUACUUGGGUCAUCGAAGAUUUUUGCCUCCUGAUCAUCCAUAGAGAAAAGAUAAGAAGUCAACAACAACAAUAAUAAUACAUAUUGAUAUAGGUUUUGUGUAUUGAAUUUAAAAUGAAUAAAAGGAUGUAUAUUAGACUGUUUGGG